RNAcentral lists this ribosomal RNA (492 nucleotides) under uncultured bacterium. Its description in RNAcentral is "partial 16S ribosomal RNA". It matches the Rfam family "Bacterial small subunit ribosomal RNA", at positions 29 to 507 of the family's 1533-position model. The record is from RNAcentral.
AGUGAACGCUGGCGGUAGGCCUAACACAUGCAAGUCGAACGGCAGCACAGUAAGAGCUUGCUCUUACGGGUGGCGAGUGGCGGACGGGUGAGGAAUACAUCGGAAUCUACUUUUUCGUGGGGGAUAACGUAGGGAAACUUACGCUAAUACCGCAUACGACCUACGGGUGAAAGCAGGGGAUCUUCGGAUCUUGCGCGAUUGAAUGAGCCGAUGUCGGAUUAGCUAGUUGGCGGGGUAAAGGCCCACCAAGGCGACGAUCCGUAGCUGGUCUGGGAGGAUGAUCAGCCACACUGGAACUGAGACACGGUCCAGACUCCUACGGGAGGCAGCAGUGGGGAAUAUUGGACAAUGGGCGCAAGCCUGAUCCAGCCAUACCGCGUGGGUGAAGAAGGCCUUCGGGUUGUAAAGCCCUUUUGUUGGGAAAGAAAAGCAGCAGGUUAAUACCCCGCUGUUCUGACGGUACCCAAAGAAUAAGCACCGGCUAACUUCGUG